This 29-nucleotide small RNA is filed under the name Bombyx mori (domestic silkworm). Its description in RNAcentral is "ovarian small RNA-15574". The record is from RNAcentral. Lineage: Eukaryota; Metazoa; Arthropoda; Insecta; Lepidoptera; Bombycidae.
GACGCUCCAGUGGCGCAAUUGGUUAGCGC